CGGGAUGUGGCGUAGCUUGGUAGCGCGCUUGGUUCGGGACCAAGAGGUCGUGGGUUCGAAUCCCAUCAUCCCGACCA
RNAcentral lists this transfer RNA (77 nucleotides) under Bacillota bacterium. RNAcentral describes it as "tRNA-Pro". It matches the Rfam family "tRNA". Rfam says of the family: Transfer RNA (tRNA) molecules are approximately 80 nucleotides in length. Their secondary structure includes four short double-helical elements and three loops (D, anti-codon, and T loops). RNAcentral also lists the same sequence under 2 other names. Lineage: Bacteria; Bacillati; Bacillota. The record is from RNAcentral.